GUAUUCGCUUCGGUGGUACCUACACUAAACUCGGAACGAUACAGAAAAGAUUAUUAUUGGCUCUUGCUCAAGGAUGACACGCAAAAUCGUGAAGCGUUCCAUAUUUUU
Molecule: small nuclear RNA, 108 nt
Filed under: Schistosoma curassoni
Lineage: Eukaryota; Metazoa; Platyhelminthes; Trematoda; Strigeidida; Schistosomatidae
Source: RNAcentral